This 462-nucleotide ribosomal RNA is filed under the name uncultured beta proteobacterium. Its description in RNAcentral is "bacterial SSU rRNA". It matches the Rfam family "Bacterial small subunit ribosomal RNA", at positions 200 to 642 of the family's 1533-position model. Lineage: Bacteria; Pseudomonadati; Pseudomonadota; Betaproteobacteria. The record is from RNAcentral.
AGAAAAGCAGGGGAUCGCAAGACCUUGCGCUUUUGGAGCGGCCGAUGUCUGAUUAGCUAGUUGGUGAGGUAAAGGCUUACCAAGGCUUCGAUCAGUAGCUGGUCUGAGAGGACGACCAGCCACACUGGGACUGAGACACGGCCCAGACUCCUACGGGAGGCAGCAGUGGGGAAUUUUGGACAAUGGGGGAAACCCUGAUCCAGCCAUGCCGCGUGAGUGAAGAAGGCCUUCGGGUUGUAAAGCUCUUUCAGCCGGAACGAAAAGGUUACGGUUAAUACCCGUGACUAAUGACGGUACCGGAAGAAGAAGCACCGGCUAACUACGUGCCAGCAGCCGCGGUAAUACGUAGGGUGCGAGCGUUAAUCGGAAUUACUGGGCGUAAAGCGUGCGCAGGCGGUUUUGUAAGUCAGAUGUGAAAUCCCCGGGCUCAACCUGGGAACNUGCGUUUGAAACUACAAAGCU